RNAcentral lists this transfer RNA (64 nucleotides) under unidentified. Its description in RNAcentral is "Capodemus sinuatus tRNA-Phe". The record is from RNAcentral.
ACUUAAAUAGCUUAAGUUUAAAAGCUUAAUAUUGAAGAUAUUAUGAUGAGUGACUCUUUAGGUG